This 253-nucleotide ribosomal RNA is filed under the name uncultured bacterium. Its description in RNAcentral is "partial 16S ribosomal RNA". It matches the Rfam family "Bacterial small subunit ribosomal RNA", at positions 524 to 776 of the family's 1533-position model. The record is from RNAcentral.
UACAUGGGGUGCAAACGUUGCUCGGAAUUAUUGGGCGUAAAGCGCGCGUAGGCGGUUACUCAAGUCGGAUGUGAAAGCCGUCGGCUUAACUGAGGAAGUGCACCCGAAACUGAGUAGCUAGAGUACUAAAGAGGGUCGCGGAAUUCCCGGUGUAGAGGUGAAAUUCGUAGAUAUCGGGAGGAACACCGGUGGCGAAGGCGGCGACCUGGGUAGAUACUGACGCUGAGGCGCGAAAGCGUGGGGAGCAAACAGG